UUGGGGACGUCUAGAGAGACUGCCGGUGAUAAACCGGAGGAAGGUGGGGAUGACGUCAAAUCAUCAUGCCCCUUAUGACCUGGGCUACACACGUACUACAAUGGCGCAUACAACGAGCUGCGAGAUGGUGACAUCAAGCGAAUCUCUUAAAAUGCGUCUCAGUUCGGAUUGGAGUCUGCAACUCGACUCCAUGAAGUCGGAAUCGCUAGUAAUCGCGGAUCAGCAUGCCGCGGUGAAUACGUUCUCGGGGUUU
This 253-nucleotide ribosomal RNA is filed under the name uncultured Erysipelothrix sp. Its description in RNAcentral is "partial 16S ribosomal RNA". It matches the Rfam family "Bacterial small subunit ribosomal RNA", at positions 1130 to 1382 of the family's 1533-position model. The record is from RNAcentral. Lineage: Bacteria; Bacillati; Bacillota; Erysipelotrichia; Erysipelotrichales; Erysipelotrichaceae.